AUGAUUGAAAACCUCUGCCCAAUUAUUUCAUGGAAUGUUCGGGGCCUGAACUCGCCCGCGAGAAGAGCUACUGUUGCUGAAGUUGCUGUUUCCCAUCGCCUUGCCAUUCUCUGUCUGCAGGAAACAAAAAUCUCCACCUGGACUGCUGAUUUGGCUAGAGAAGUUGGAGGCGCCAAGCUUAGAGAUUGCGUAGUGCUGCCUGCCUUCGACACCAGAGGUGGUGCUGCCAUCUUCUGGGACCCUGAUGUUGUGGAGAUCAACUCCCAAGCAAUUGGACAGUUUGCUAUAACUGCACAAGUCAGGCUC
This 306-nucleotide ribosomal RNA is filed under the name Triticum aestivum (bread wheat). Its description in RNAcentral is "partial small subunit ribosomal RNA". Lineage: Eukaryota; Viridiplantae; Streptophyta; Magnoliopsida; Poales; Poaceae. The record is from RNAcentral.